UACGAAGGGUGCAAGCGUUACUCGGAAUUACUGGGCGUAAAGCGUGCGUAGGUGGUGAGUUAAGUCUGAUGUGAAAUCCCCGGGCUCAACCCUCGAAUGCCGGUGGAUACUGUCGGGCUAGAGUGCGGAAGAGGCGAGUGGAAUUCCUGGUGUAGCGGUGAAAUGCGCAGAUAUCAGGAGGAACACCGAUUGCGAAGGCAGCUCGCUGGGACGUUACUGACGCUGAGACGCGAAAGCGUGGGGAGCAAACAGG
Molecule: ribosomal RNA, 253 nt
Filed under: uncultured bacterium
Lineage: Bacteria
Description: partial 16S ribosomal RNA
Rfam family: Bacterial small subunit ribosomal RNA
Source: RNAcentral